Oxyura jamaicensis (ruddy duck) is the source of this 577-nucleotide long non-coding RNA. RefSeq lists it as uncharacterized. NCBI's taxonomy places the organism in Eukaryota, Metazoa, Chordata, Aves, Anseriformes, Anatidae. The transcript has 2 exons. The record is from RefSeq and is a predicted model, not a curated record.
GAUUUGUCACACUAGAAUUACAGAAUAAUCACAGAUUAACUCCAACAUUCAGUGCCUGCUUAAGUAAACAUUCUUUAUUAAAACUAAAGAAUCAGUCUUACAAAAGAUAUUAAUAGCUCUUUCUUAAACUAUUGGAUUAGCAGAAUAUUACGAUCAGUAUAUUUCAGAAGCACUAUCUUAAGGGGAAAAAAACACAUUUUUAAAUACACAGCUUAGCAAGCCAAAAACCAAAGUACACAUUCAGGUACAUUUCAUGUAAUUAGGCUGUCUCUUAGUUAUAGCUCAAUUACAUCACAGGUAUUUGUAACAUGAGGACAGCAGAAUUUUCUAGUAUCUUUUGAAAGCAUCAAAAGAGUUUACUGUUGCAUAUCAUAUUAGAGCAUAAAUGGCUGAAUACAGCUCAAGGCACUGUUGCGCGUUAUAAUGUUGACCAACCUCUAUAAGAAUUAUCUGUGUAAAGAGCAAAUUGGAAACCAUACCAAAAAAAAAGGAAAUCUCUGCUUCAAGGGUCAAAUGCAACCCCCUGGGCUCAGGUAAUGCGGCUUGGGGACAUUUUUUGAAUGUCACAUAAAAAAAA